AGAUGUGUCAUCCGAAACUAAGAUGAGCUCGCGUUGCUAUCAAGCGUCAGUUGGUGAGUGUAAAAGCUUUACCAAGGCUUACGACGGAUACCUGGUCUGAGAGGACGAUCAGCCACAACUGGGACUGAAGACACGGCCCAAACUCCUACGGGAGGCUGCAGCAGGGAAUAUUUGUGCACAUUGAAUCGAAGAGUUUGACACACGCGACAUCCGCGUGUGGGAUGACGGAUCUAGGUUUGUAAGACCACUUUCAGAGAGGGAAGAAAUAUGACUGGUACCUCCACAAGAAGCCCCGGUACAACUACAGUGACCACGCAGUCCUGCAGUGUAAUACUGUAUGUGGGGCGAGCGUAUGUCCGGAUUCUAUUGGGCGUAAUACGAGCUCGUACGCGGUUCAACAAAGUCGGAUAAUCAAACAGUUCAGGGCUCAAUCCCUGUAAAAUGUCUAUCGAUACUGUAUGUGACUACGAUACGGACAACAGGUGAAUGGAAUUCCGAC
Molecule: ribosomal RNA, 499 nt
Filed under: uncultured bacterium
Lineage: Bacteria
Description: bacterial SSU rRNA
Rfam family: Bacterial small subunit ribosomal RNA
Source: RNAcentral